AUGAGAAAAUAAACGAGCAGCGAGAAAAUGAUACAGGAUGAGCAGAUGAGUGUCGGCCAAUCAGAUUCAUGUUUGUUUGAAUAGAGCUCAACAGUUUGGUUCCAGAAGUAAAAGUCCUGUUUGUUUCCUCUAUAGUGGAUUUAAUUACCGUAUUGGUCCGAAUAUAAGACGGCCUUUUUCCCCAUCGAAAUAGGUCCGAAAAAGUCGGGUCGUCUUAUAUUCGGGGUCUAGUAUUCAGAGCGCAGCUCUAAUUGUUCGCCUGUCCCUUUAAAUGUCAAUACACAUGACGCGCUCUGGGAGGAGCAGGGGAGUGAUGACAGCGAGAGCGAACACAGCGGGGCGGAGGACGAAUAGAGAGGAGACAUCGGAGGAGAAGUUUGGCGAGUUUUAGUUUAGCGGUAGUUUAAUUAAAAAUGUUGCCUGUAUUUCCUGUUAUUUAAAAAUGUUAAAAACAUGUUGAUAAUAUUGCUUGAUUGUUAAUCGAUUUUAAUUUUGAAUCAUACGGUACAUAGUUCGCCCUUGUGAAACACUUUGUUUUGAAAAGUGCUGUAGGCCUAUACCGAUAAAUACGGUAUGUUAAUUAUUAUUAUAAUUAUUAAUACAACAGGUUUCAUUCAAUGUGUUUUUAAUAUUGUUAUUUUCAAAUAAAAUUAAGUUCUUUAAAAAAAGUUCUUUAUAAAAACAA
This is a long non-coding RNA of Labrus mixtus (cuckoo wrasse), 685 nucleotides long. RefSeq lists it as uncharacterized. Lineage: Eukaryota; Metazoa; Chordata; Actinopteri; Labriformes; Labridae. The record is from RefSeq and is a predicted model, not a curated record. The transcript is spliced from 2 exons.